UGGGUAACCUGCCUCAAAGAGGGGAAUAGCCUCCCGAAAAGGGGGGAUUAAUACCGCAUAAUAUGUUUAAGUCGCAUGACUUUAACAUCAGAGGAUUUUCUUUUAGAAAUUCCACUUUGAGAUGGACCCGCGGCGCAUUAGCUAGUUGGUGAGGUAACGGCUCACCAAGGCAACGAUGCGUAGCCGGCCUGAGAGGGCACACGGCCACACUGGCACUGAAACACGGGCCAGACUCCGUAGGGAGG
RNAcentral lists this ribosomal RNA (245 nucleotides) under uncultured bacterium. RNAcentral's name for it is "partial 16S ribosomal RNA". It matches the Rfam family "Bacterial small subunit ribosomal RNA", at positions 118 to 348 of the family's 1533-position model. The record is from RNAcentral.